This 445-nucleotide ribosomal RNA is filed under the name uncultured bacterium. Its description in RNAcentral is "partial 16S ribosomal RNA". It matches the Rfam family "Bacterial small subunit ribosomal RNA", at positions 354 to 796 of the family's 1533-position model. The record is from RNAcentral.
GUGAGGAAUAUUGGUCAAUGGGCGAGAGCCUGAACCAGCCAAGUCGCGUGAAGGAAGAAGGAUCUAUGGUUCGUAAACUUCUUUUGCAGGGGAAUAAAGUGCGGGACGUGUCCUGUUUUGUAUGUACCCUGAGAAUAAGGAUCGGCUAACUCCGUGCCAGCAGCCGCGGUAAUACGGAGGAUCCGAGCGUUAUCCGGAUUUAUUGGGUUUAAAGGGUGCGUAGGUGGUUUGAUAAGUCAGCGGUGAAAGUUUGCAGCUUAACUGUAAAAAUGCCGUUGGAACUGUCGGACUUGAGUGUAAAUGAGGUAGGCGGAAUGCGUGGUGUAGCGGUGAAAUGCAUAGAUAUCACGCAGAACUCCGAUUGCGAAGGCAGCUUACUAAGCUACAACUGACACUGAAGCACGAAAGCGUGGGGAUCAAACAGGAUUAGAUACCCCGGUAGUCC